GUAAGGAAUAUUGGGCAAUGGACGCAAGUCUGACCCAGCCAUGCCGCGUGGAGGAUGAAGGUCCUCUGGAUUGUAAACUUCUUUUCUCUGGGGCGAAAAACAGGUAUUCUUACUUGCUUGACAGUACCAGAGGAAUAAGCACCGGCUAACUCCGUGCCAGCAGCCGCGGUAAUACGGAGGGUGCAAGCGUUAUCCGGAUUCACUGGGUUUAAAGGGUGCGUAGGUGGGGAGGUAAGUCAGCGGUGAAAUCCCCGAGCUUAACUUGGGAACUGCCAUUGAUACUAUCUCUCUUGAAUAUCUUGGAGGUGAGCGGAAUAUGUCAUGUAGCGGUGAAAUGCUUAGAUAUGACAUAGAACACCAAUUGCGAAGGCAGCUCACUACACGGUAAUUGACACUGAGGCACGAAAGCGUGGGGAUCAAACAGGAUUAGAAACCCCGGUAGUCC
Molecule: ribosomal RNA, 445 nt
Filed under: uncultured bacterium
Lineage: Bacteria
Description: bacterial SSU rRNA
Rfam family: Bacterial small subunit ribosomal RNA
Source: RNAcentral